RNAcentral lists this ribosomal RNA (463 nucleotides) under uncultured bacterium. RNAcentral's name for it is "bacterial SSU rRNA". It matches the Rfam family "Bacterial small subunit ribosomal RNA", at positions 8 to 470 of the family's 1533-position model. The record is from RNAcentral.
AGAGUUUGAUCCUGGCUCAGAAUGAACGCUGGCGGCGUGCCUAACACAUGCAAGUCGGAUGUGCCGCAAGGUGCAUGGCAGACGGGUGAGUAACGCGUAGGGAAUCUACCUUUUUGUGGGGAAUAACGCUCCGAAAGGAGUGGUAAUACCGCAUGAGACCGCAGACUGGGAUGUUUGUGGUGAAACCUGGGGACCGCAAGGCCUGGGGCAAGAAGAGGAUCCUGCGUCUGAUUAGCUAGUUGGCGGGGUAAUGGCCCACCAAGGCGACGAUCAGUAGCCGGCCUGAGAGGGUGAUCGGCCACACUGGAACUGAGACACGGUCCAGACUCCUACGGGAGGCAGCAGAGGGGAAUUUUGCGCAAUGGACGAGAGUCUGACGCAGCAACGCCGCGUGGGUGAUGAAGGUCUUCGGACUGUAAAACCCUGUCGUCAGGGACGAAGGUAUGGGAGUUAAUAGCUCUUA